CCAAUAGCGUAUAUUAAAGUUGUUGCAGUUAAAAAGCUCGUAGUUGAAUUUCGGGAUUGGCGCAUCGGUCGUGCCUCACGGGGUAUGAACUGGUGCAGUCAAUUUCUCACCUUCUGGAGAACCGCGAUGUCCUUAAUUGGAUGCCGCGGGGAACCAGGACCUUUACUUUGAAAAAAUUAGAGUGUUUAAAGCAGGCAUUUUUGCUUGAAUACAUUAGCAUGGAAUAAUAAAAUAGGACGGCAUGGUUCUAUUUUGUUGGUUUCUAGGACCACCGUAAUGAUUAAUAGGUAUAGUUGGGGGCAUUAGUAUUCAAUUGUCAGAGGUGAAAUUCUUGGAUUUAUUGAAGACUAACUACUGCGAAAGCAUUUGCCAAGGAUGUUUUCAUUAAUCAAGAACGAAAGUUAGGGGAUCGAAGACGAUCAGAUACCGUCGUAGUCUUAACCAUAAACUAUGCCGACUAGGAAUCAGACGAUGUUAAUUUUUUAAUGACUCGUUUGGCACCUUACG
Molecule: ribosomal RNA, 507 nt
Filed under: uncultured Glomeromycotina
Lineage: Eukaryota; Fungi; Glomeromycota
Description: partial small subunit ribosomal RNA
Rfam family: Eukaryotic small subunit ribosomal RNA
Source: RNAcentral